AAAGUUACUCUUUUAAAAAUCUAAUUAGUGCUUCUUUUAUUUUGGAAGCUGAAAACAGUCUAACGAUAGGAGGGAUAUCCUCACAGCAUUUUCAGUUGCGCUUGCCAGUUCUAGAAAAUUCUCAAAUAAGCUAUAGUAAGAGUGAAGUUAUACCGACAAUGUUUGGAAAAAGACAGCUGAGAAUGGAUUCAAGUGUAAAUGUCUUACUAGGAUGGACACUUCCAUCUUCACUACAUAGAACGUCUGUAUUAACUGUGGCAAGGCAACAGAAAUAAGCCUGCAUGUAAUUCCAUUCAGAAAGCAGAAAGGAUUAGAGCAUUUUAGGUUUACGUUCUGCCUGAGCACACAGUUUCUCUAUCCUUUUAAAGAAGUAUGACUUCAUUUAAAUUGCUUGGACAGUAGAAAUGAAUGUAAAAGCAUGACUCAUUUUUUUUGGGAGUCUAGUCAUUUUAUAAACUGGUGGAGGCGGAGGAGUGGAGCGGGUGGGGGGGGGUGUAGUUCCAUUGUUGGUUCUAGCCUGACUUCUACUCCAUGCUCACACUUAAGAGUGAGAUUUGCCUAGUAUUACAGUACCAAACAGGGCAGUGUAAAGUUUAUGUUCAUGAAGUCUUCAUGUAGUAGGCUUGAACAGUGGGUCAGUGACCAGUCAGACAGCUUAUGUAAAUGUAUGUACACUGUGAUUUUUAUUUGAUGACUUCUGUGGAGUUGGCCCUGUCUCUUCUGCUGUCUUCUGGUUGACAAUGUUUUUUUUAUUUUAUUUUCGAGCUGAUAACAGUUGCAACAUUAUACACUGAAUAAUCAGAAAUGUCCUACUUCACAUAUUUACACUGAGGACUGGACAAUCAGAAGCACCAUCUCCUGCAGUAUGUAAGUGGAUUAUUUAUUUAUUUAUUUAUUUAUUUAUUUAUUUAUUUUUCUUUUUAAUGUCAUGAUGAAGUGAUGAAGUAUUCUAUUUUGUUGUUGUUGUUGUUCCAUAUAUCUAAUUCAAAGCCUACUUCCAUGACCAAAGAUGCCUUGUUAAAGCUGGGAUAAGCAAUAUGUUAUUCAAGAGGCCUUAGAGAGAAGUCGACUCUCUCUCCUCCUUUGGGCUCUACUUUCAGACUUGAGGAAAAAUGUAGUGUCAGGCUGGCCAAUUACAGGUCUUUUCAGACCAGAUCAGAUGAGUAAAAUAAAGAAGUAUAAAGAAUACAAAUGGAAUAAAGAUAGUCGCACACUGGGUUGAACAUUCUGUGAAGCCAAUCGCAUCGGCUUUAUUUUCACAUAUAUUAGACAUGCUUGUUUGAUGGGAGGGAUUUAGGAGAGAGGUGUCUAUAUAUGAAAU
Molecule: long non-coding RNA, 1321 nt
Organism: Astatotilapia calliptera (eastern happy)
Lineage: Eukaryota; Metazoa; Chordata; Actinopteri; Cichliformes; Cichlidae
Source: Ensembl